RNAcentral lists this ribosomal RNA (492 nucleotides) under uncultured bacterium. RNAcentral's name for it is "bacterial SSU rRNA". It matches the Rfam family "Bacterial small subunit ribosomal RNA", at positions 501 to 1000 of the family's 1533-position model. The record is from RNAcentral.
CUACGUGCCAGCAGCCGCGGUAAUACGUAGGUCCCGAGCGUUGUCCGGAUUUAUUGGGCGUAAAGCGAGCGCAGGCGGUUAGAUAAGUCUGAAGUUAAAGGCUGUGGCUUAACCAUAGUACGCUUUGGAAACUGUUUAACUUGAGUGCAAGAGGGGAGAGUGGAAUUCCAUGUGUAGCGGUGAAAUGCGUAGAUAUAUGGAGGAACACCAGUGGCGAAGGCGGCUUGCUAGCCAAAGACUGACGCUCAUGCACGAAAGCGUGGGGAGCAAAUAGGAUUAGAUACCCUAGUAGUCCACGCCGUAAACGAUGAAUACUAAGUAUUGGGGAAACUCAGUGCUGCAGCUAACGCAAUAAGUAUUCCGCCUGUGGAGUAUGCACGCAAGUGUGAAACAUAAAGGAAUUGACGGGGGCCCGCACAAGCGGUGGAGCAUGUGGUUUAAUUCGAUGCAACGCGAAGAACCUUACCUACUCUUGACAUCCAGAGAACAUUC